UACGGAGGGUGCGAGCGUUAAUCGGAAUUACUGGGCGUAAAGGGUGCGUAGGUGGUUUGAUAAGUUAGCUGUGAAAUUCCUGGGCUCAACCUAGGGAGGUCAGCUAAGACUGUUAGACUUGAGUAUAGGAGAGGGUAGUGGAAUUUCCGGUGUAGCGGUGAAAUGCGUAGAUAUCGGAAGGAACACCAGUGGCGAAGGCGACUACCUGGCCUGAUACUGACACUGAGGCACGAAAGCGUGGGGAGCAAACAGG
RNAcentral lists this ribosomal RNA (253 nucleotides) under uncultured bacterium. RNAcentral's name for it is "partial 16S ribosomal RNA". It matches the Rfam family "Bacterial small subunit ribosomal RNA", at positions 524 to 776 of the family's 1533-position model. The record is from RNAcentral.